RNAcentral lists this long non-coding RNA (1350 nucleotides) under Homo sapiens (human). RNAcentral's name for it is "HSALNT0060917". The record is from RNAcentral. Lineage: Eukaryota; Metazoa; Chordata; Mammalia; Primates; Hominidae.
GAUGCUGCACUUCAUCUGAGUCCUCACAAUGACUCCAAGAGGAAGCAGCAAGACCUUGAGAACAGGAGCAAAAACUACAGUAGGACCGAGACAGCUAUUAUGCAACACACUAUUUCAGGCGGACACAGAAAGCUCCUCUUUCAGAAAAGGAACUAAGGGAGGAAAUGAAAAAGGAAAAACUCAUGGAGUCCACCUUUUGCCAUAUUUUCACACUUUCUGGACUGUACAUAAGUUUCCACUUUUUCCGAUGCUUCUGUAACUUGAAGAAAAUAAUCUCAUAAGCUCUAGGAUCUGGCUUUGGAAGGAAAGGUGGAGAGAAACAGACUAGACUGUGAUCAGGUUUCUGGAAUGCAGGGUCGGGACUGGAAGAGAAGAUGAAGAGGAUGGAGAAAGCUCAUAGACACACAAGCCAGCAAUCAUCCCUCUUCUUUCUACACCAAUUAUGGAUCUGUGCUUUCCUGUCUACUAAUCUCACCAGCCUGGCUCUGUAUCCCACAUUUGAUGCCUUAUCGUGCUAUUGUGUGAGGCAAAUAACUCUAUUGCCCAAGCCUAAGACUCUCCCUAUUACUUGGUCCUAAGCGAUGAGGAAAAAUGGAAAAAGGCCACUGUGGGCUAGUAAGAUUGCCUUCUAAAUUUUCAGUUGAACUUCUGGCUCCCAGGUUCAGAAGGACAGUAACUAUGGAAAAUGAGGAACACUUGGAGCUAAAUGUAAAAGAUAAAUUUAAGAUUAAUAAAAUAUGAUAUUUCCUUGUAUUUAUAAUAGUGGUGGUUGAGGUAAAAAAGGCAUAUGAAGAUUGUUGAUCCAUUUUUAAAAAUGGCAGCUUAGUAGAGGGUUUUGGGAGUGGGGAAACUAUUUUCCCAAAAGGGCCUUGUAUUGCUUAGACUUACUACAGAGUCUGCUGGGAAAUGGAGUCCAUUUGUCUAAUAACCAUAUGCCUGCCCUAUCUGCAUUCCUCAAGUCAUUAUGAUGUAUCAGGUACUACUUUCUUUCUCCAGAUGCUAAUCCCAAUAAAGCUAUUUCUUCUGGGGAAAAAAAUAAAUGAAUAGCUGGGAGUUUGUGGUUUGUGACUUGAGAGCCAGAAAAUGGAAUAGAAGUCUCAGAAGGAAGAAAGAAGGCAGCACGGCAGACCUAUUGGGGAUUGUGGCUAAUUUUAGAAUUGUGGCAUUAGUUAUAAUGCCUCUUAUUCAAUUUUAAGUGAUUGCCUAUAAGCUCUACCCAUUAUCCAUAGACAGUCCUUAAGUAAAAGUCUCCGGUGCACACAAAAUGUGUUAGUGUUAACUUGGGAUAGAUUUAAGGAAUUGGGGAGGUCUUCAGCUUGAAGCAAAGAUGUAUGGAAAAUUAAUAGUGGU